UCAUCAUGGGCUUGUAACCAUUGA
RNAcentral lists this small nuclear RNA (24 nucleotides) under Arabidopsis thaliana (thale cress). Its description in RNAcentral is "snRNA_10792". Lineage: Eukaryota; Viridiplantae; Streptophyta; Magnoliopsida; Brassicales; Brassicaceae. The record is from RNAcentral.